UGGCUGUCGAGAAGAUCCAACCACUUUACCAAGAUCUACAAUUCGUGCUAUGGUAGAUGUGACCCUCAAAGAUUUUGGAUGACGAAGGAAUCCAACGCAUAUAUGUCGCUCACAGACACGGGCAGACGACUGAGAGUCGAGUGGAUUCAGUGGAUCGAAUGGUUACGCUCAGGGAUAUCCAUGCGCAGGAGUGACGAACCACAGUUCAGGAAACGAUGCCUUGACAGACCAAUUCAAGGAGAACCUUCGCUAAGAUCAGGAAGGGAACGUGUUUGCUGUGUGGAUGGAUUGAACACUUAAAUGUCCGUCAUUCUAAUAGACUAUAAUAACAAUCUUCUAAUGGACUAUCUGAAUGACAGUCUAACUCCAAAGGGACUCUCUGGACUUAGGGAAAGCUACGGACAUGAGCCCUGACAUGAUAUCCUGCAGCCACCAUGAGGACAGCCUAUCUCAUAACUUCAGAAGGAUGCCAUCACAUGCAUGAUGAGCCAUCCCACAGAAGGGAGAAGGAUGUUGUUGACCCAGCACAUCCCAUCCAUGCUCCCAUCGCCGUCAAGUAACAGUACGACGGUUAGUUUGUAUUUUGUCACCGUAGGCUUUAUCGUUUUAUCAAAAUAUCUGAUUGAAAGGUGAUUUAAUGAAAAUUCAAAUUUUUCUGAUGGUGAGAGUGCAAAUAUUUACAAUGCUUAUGACAAGCAUAGAUUAUUUUAAUCUAUGUUUGGUUAUGACCAUGA
Long non-coding RNA from Lineus longissimus, 734 nucleotides. RefSeq lists it as uncharacterized. The record is from RefSeq and is a predicted model, not a curated record. NCBI's taxonomy places the organism in Eukaryota, Metazoa, Nemertea, Pilidiophora, Heteronemertea, Lineidae. The transcript is spliced from 3 exons.